UGAUCGAUUCCGGAACUGAACUCUCAUGGGUCUGCAGUUACAUUAUAUCGGAGCAUCGUGUAGCACCAUGAGAUUCAGCUCCGGCGUUUGAUAC
This 94-nucleotide microRNA precursor is filed under the name Anopheles sinensis. RNAcentral describes it as "mir-998 microRNA precursor family". It matches the Rfam family "mir-998 microRNA precursor family". The record is from Rfam by way of RNAcentral. Lineage: Eukaryota; Metazoa; Arthropoda; Insecta; Diptera; Culicidae.